This is an RNA transcript of Oncorhynchus gorbuscha (pink salmon), 2067 nucleotides long. It is a transcript of the gene named acidic leucine-rich nuclear phosphoprotein 32 family member A-like, with no coding region annotated. The transcript is spliced from 7 exons. NCBI's taxonomy places the organism in Eukaryota, Metazoa, Chordata, Actinopteri, Salmoniformes, Salmonidae. The record is from RefSeq and is a predicted model, not a curated record.
CGAUUGUAAUUGGUCAAUGGUGACGACAAUCCCAACUCACAUUCCCGCCUACCGAGGAGAUCAAGUUUGAAUGAACAACAGCAGUCUGUUCAAGGAGUAGUAGUUGCAAUUUCAGUAAAAAAAAUACUUUUACGUCUGUAUACUUUGUUUAUAAAAUCGGUGGACUGGUUUUCUCAAGAUGGAUAUGAAGAAAAGAAUUCAUCUAGAAUUGCGGAAUCGCACGCCAUCUGAUGUGAAAGAACUGGUGCUUGAUAACUGUCGCUCAAACGAAGGCAAAAUUGAGGGCCUCACAGAUGAAUUUGAAGAGUUGGAAUUUCUAAGCACAAUCAACGUUGGGCUGACGUCGGUCUCCAACUUGCCGAAGCUGAACAAGCUGAAAAAACUUGAACUCAGCGACAACAGGAUCUCAGGUGGGCUGGACGUACUGGCGGAGAAAUGUCCAAACCUCACACAUCUAAACCUCAGUGGCAACAAAAUGAAAGACCUCAGCACGAUAGAACCUUUGAAAAAAUUAGAGACCCUCAAAAGCUUAGACUUGUUCAACUGCGAGGUGACCAACCUCAACGACUACAGAGACAACGUGUUCAAGCUCCUCCCCAGUUGACGUACCUGGACGGCUAUGACAAAGACGACAAGGAGGCGCCCGAUUCGGACGCAGAGGCCUAUGUGGAGGGACUGGAUGAUGACGAUGACAGUGACGAGGUAGACGAGGAGGAGGAAGAGGAUGAGGACGAAGAUGCCCCACCAAGAAAAGAGGAGGAUGAUGACGAUGAGGAAGGUGAAGAAGAGGAAGAGGAGGACCUAAGUGGAGAGGAGGAAGAGGAGGAGUUGGACGGCAAGGAGAGUGAUGAGGAUAACGAAGAAGAGGAGCGAGGUCUGAAGAGGAAAAGGGAUCUAGACGAGGAAGCAGAGGAGGAGGAAGAUGACUGAGGAUGUGCUCAUCACCAAGCUAUGUUCUGAUCAGACUGUUUUAACCUUGUAUCCCCUGUAUUUGUCAGUUGUCAUAUAUUGCAGUAGGCAUGGGUAGUGUCAUGGGCCAGCUGGGUAAAGGGUUGGUGUAAGGAAACAAGUUGACAUUUUAUUAUUUUUUUCUUAUAUUUUUUGUUGUUGUACCUUUUUUGAUUCCUUGUAUUCGACUCAUAUCUGUCCCCUGCAAACCACUGGAAGGGCAGAAGAGAACAUUUCCUAAAAGUCCCGCUGUUAUUCGCUCCAAACCUUUGUAAAGGUUUUGUUUUCUCAGUGAUAUUGAUACCUUCCUGUGGAAACAGAUUUCUGAUGAUGAUUUAUGUAUUUAAAGAGACAAACUUACCAAAAAACCUUUUAGAAGUGCAUGUCUGAAAUAGAUUUUAAAGUCGACUACUGGAUUUGAAGUAUGACAGUUUCCUAUACCCGUUUCUUAUUCGCUGUCUUUUUCUUUCAGUGGACAUGAAGCGUUUUGUGGCGUCAUCCGUGUGUCGUUGUAUGUGCUGUUUUCAUCAUGGAACGGGUGUUUAAACGUUCAUAGAAUGGACUGUAUACAGGGCAUCUUUUUAAGCAGAGUAAAGAAUGUCUGCCUUUGUCACAAUGCUUCUCCUUAACCCCUAGCUUUGAUAGUUCGGAAAUGACCUGUUAUUUGUAAAUACUGACCAAAUCUAUUUUUUGUCUAUUACUCUUUGAUAAUGGCAGACAUUUACACUUAAUUAAUUGUAACGAUGAACUGUAGUAAGAUAUUGAAUAUCUGUGCAGCCGUACCCUAAAAUAGGCUAAUUGAAUCUGGUACACGAUUUCCAUUUUCACCAAAUUAUAUUCACAGAAAUACUCACUGAAUCCAAAUGUGUUAUUGCUGUCCAACUCUUGGAGUCCAUAUUCGUUCCCCACCUAUAUAAGACACCGCUGGGCAAUGUGCAAAGAAAACACCUUUUGCAUUUUCUUUUGUUAAACCAUAGGGCAGUUCCUGGUCAGAUAGACCUACCUCAGUCAUGUUCCCCUUACAUGUUUAACCCACUGUCAUCAAAGCUAAUUCCUUACCAUGAGACAAACUUUUCAUUUCCUCCCUCUCACUUCAAUAAAUAUUUUUUUUUUAUACAA